UGGGGCACGCUUAGAGCCCCAAGACAUGGUUGUGUUAAUAGCGUCGCCUUUGGCCGGACGGCGCGGUUAGUGAAUC
The submitters of this non-coding RNA (76 nucleotides) gave its source as unclassified sequences. The record is from Rfam.